UACGUAGGUCCCGAGCGUUGUCCGGAUUUAUUGGGCGUAAAGCGAGCGCAGGUGGUUUAUUAAGUCUGGUGUAAAAGGCAGUGGCUCGACCAUUGUAUGCAUUGGAAACUGGUAGACUUGAGUGCAGGAGAGGAGAGUGGAAUUCCAUGUGUAGCGGUGAAAUGCGUAGAUAUAUGGAGGAACACCGGUGGCGAAAGCGGCUCUCUGGCCUGUAACUGACACUGAGGCUCGAAAGCGUGGGGAGCAGACAGG
RNAcentral lists this ribosomal RNA (252 nucleotides) under uncultured bacterium. Its description in RNAcentral is "partial 16S ribosomal RNA". It matches the Rfam family "Bacterial small subunit ribosomal RNA", at positions 524 to 776 of the family's 1533-position model. The record is from RNAcentral.